Caretta caretta (loggerhead turtle) is the source of this 1786-nucleotide long non-coding RNA. RefSeq lists it as uncharacterized. NCBI's taxonomy places the organism in Eukaryota, Metazoa, Chordata, Testudines, Cheloniidae. The record is from RefSeq and is a predicted model, not a curated record.
GGCCAGGUGACAAGGGCGGGGGCCGCGUCAAUCCGGGGCUGCGCUCUCGGGAGCGCCGCACCGGCCGGGAGAGGGGCCCUGCGGCUCCACAGACACCCGGGGGGCAGAGUGAAGCCAGAGCUGCCUGGAGGGACCCACUCGAGUUAGCGGCCCCGCGCGGGCAGCGCGCCCCGGGCUCUCCCUCCUGUCCUGGGGGCUGCCUGCUAAAGAGCUCUGGGUGCUCCCGGAUCAGCUCCACCACCAAGAAAGAAAUGCAUGUCUUGUAAAGCCCACCGUACACUUUGCAGUCUGACCCGUGGUCCAAAGCACAGCCAGCCCAGUCCCCCAACACAAGGAGCGCAGAGCUCUGGGGGAAAGAGGAGAGGAAAAUAAGGAAGUGCCGAGACACAUAACGGGGCAGUCUGGCCGACUGUGCCUGUCCCCAGUGUGGACGUGCGCGGGUGGGGAGUGGCCGGGUUCUAGGCAUUGUCAGGCACAACUGCUGUUCUUACCCCCAGGGAGAGACUGGACUGUGCUGCUGACAGCCCCAGCCCUGCCCCAAAGGGGGAGGAAGGAGGUACUGUGCCGAGAGCACCUGUUGUGGGCUCGUCUCCUCUUGGCGAUGGACACAGGCACAUGCUAACUAUUCCAGAUCCAGCUGGACCUCGGGUAUAUGCUUCUUGUUUUUGUUGGCAUGCAAAUAGUAUAUACAGCCCCUUAAUGCAGGUAUAUUGUUAUACAAAAAUGCGUCACCCCAUCUCUUCAGAGUUGCCUAGGAUUUAGCUGUAUGUCUCAUAUGAAAGACAAUGGGGGAGUGAUCAAAGUCAGCAAGACUUGUGUGACUAUACGCCAUGCAACUCUUCCAAAGACCCAACAAAUACUUUACGGAAGACAAUGUAACAUCUCCAUUUUCAAUGUGUCUUUUUGCUCUUCUGACCACAUGGUUCUCAGAUGUACUAUUUUAAGCCAUUUUACUGCGGUCAGGCAAGUGAAAUCCUCUCUGAAGUACUGACGAGUGUGGCAUCAUCUGCUUGAGCAGUACGUGGCAUUUUCUGUAGCCCUCUGGCGUAGGGAUACACUAUGACAUGACACUGGAAAACAGGGGCCUGAAAAUGUGUGUGGGGCCUGUCAGUGUGAGGCUAAGAUGCCUUUGUCUUAUUCACAGAGCUUUCAUCGUGAAAAUCUGAGGUUUCGCCAUCCCAGAAGGAUCAAUCCCGCCAGGUGCUGAGCAUCCUCUUGAAGGCAAUGUACCAGACUGGGCCUUUACAGGGGACCUUUAGAAUUGACCCCUGGAGAAGCCCCCCUCCCUCCCAUUCCUCCUCACUUACUAAAUCUGUUUAAACUAGGGAAGAGGGGUGAGGAGUGAGACCUUUUGGAGAAGCCACAUGGAUGUUUGUUUUCCUUGGGGGUUUAUAUCAACAUUGGUCUUGACAUUUCGCCUCUUAUUAUGUGUGGUUCUUUAAAGGGUGAAAUAAUAUUUUCCUUUGCUUGAGAAAAGGACAAAGUUCAGACAAAGCUCUCAGCCCAAAGUGAUUUUCUCCUUUCUCAACAGCUUAUACAUUGUCUACACUAUGGUUCUGUGCAAAGCGCCCCUCUCCAAACAGAGAGGAAACUGGAUGGAAGACGCUGCUCCCGAUGCAACGUACGCCCAGAGCACUGACCCCAUGUGGCAUCUCUGCUUGUACCAUGGACAAUGGGCACAUUCCAGAAACAAAGCGUAGACAUUUCCGAGUGAGUCAUUUUCAUAGUUUCCAUUGUUGGUAAAACCUGCUGUGAAACUGGAAAAUAAAAUUUCUUUUUCUGCCAA